This 138-nucleotide ribosomal RNA is filed under the name uncultured eukaryote. RNAcentral describes it as "partial 18S ribosomal RNA". It matches the Rfam family "Eukaryotic small subunit ribosomal RNA", at positions 1299 to 1458 of the family's 1831-position model. The record is from RNAcentral.
UGGUGGGUUAGCUUGUCAGGUUGAUUCCGGUAACGAACGAGACCUCAGCCUGCUAAAUAGUACCACUUGCUUCUGCAGGUGCGUACUUCUUAGAGGGACUAUCGCGGGUCUACCCGAUGGAAGUUUGAGGCGAUAACA